This 465-nucleotide ribosomal RNA is filed under the name uncultured bacterium. RNAcentral describes it as "partial 16S ribosomal RNA". It matches the Rfam family "Bacterial small subunit ribosomal RNA", at positions 28 to 507 of the family's 1533-position model. The record is from RNAcentral.
GACGAACGCUGGCGGCGUGCUUAACACAUGCAAGUCGAACGGAAAGGCCCUGCUUGCAGGGUACUCGAGUGGCGAACGGGUGAGUAACACGUGGGUGAUCUGCCCUCCACUUCGGGAUAAGCCUGGGGAACUGGGGCUAAUACCGGAUAUGAGCCAUCUUUAGUGUGAUGGUUGGAAAGUUUUUUCGGUGUAGGAUGAGCUCGCGGCCUAUCAGCUUGUUGGUGGGGUAAUGGCCUACCAAGGCGGCGACGGGUAGCCGGCCUGAGAGGGUGGACGGCCACAUUGGGACUGAGAUACGGCCCAGACUCCUACGGGAGGCAGCAGUGGGGAAUAUUGCACAAUGGGCGCAAGCCUGAUGCAGGGACGCCGCGUGGGGGAUGACGGCCUUCGGGUUGUAAACUCCUUUCGCUAGGGACGAAGCUUUUUGUGACGGUACCUAGAUAAGAAGCACCGGCUAACUACGUG